CAGAGAUGCUUAGUGCCUUCGGGAACUCUGAGACGAGGUGCUGCAUGGCUGUCGUCAGCUCGUGUUGUGAAAUGUUGGUUAAGUCCCGCAACGAGCGCAACCCUUAUCCUUUGUUGCCAGCACGUAAUGGUGGGAACUCAAAGGAGACUGCCGGUGAUAAACCGGAGGAAGGUGGGGAUGACGUCAAGUCAUCAUGGCCCUUACGAGUAGGGCUACACACGUGCUACAAUGGCGCAUACAAAGAGAAGCGACCUCGCGAGAGCAAGCGGACCUCAUAAAGUGCGUCGUAGUCCGGAUUGGAGUCUGCAACUCGACUCCAUGAAGUCGGAAUCGCUAGUAAUCGUAAAUCAGAAUGUUACGGUGAAUACGUUCCCGGGCCUUGUACACACCGCCCGUCACACCAUGGGAGUGGGUUGCAAAAGAAGUAGAUAGCUUAACCUUCGGGAGGGCGUUUACCACUUUGUGAUUCAUGACUGGGGUGAAGUCGUAACAAGGUAAGCGUAGUGCU
This 508-nucleotide ribosomal RNA is filed under the name uncultured bacterium. RNAcentral's name for it is "bacterial SSU rRNA". It matches the Rfam family "Bacterial small subunit ribosomal RNA", at positions 1001 to 1509 of the family's 1533-position model. The record is from RNAcentral.